UUAUGAUUCAAACUUAAUAGUAUUGUAGCCUAUAACAAGGCUCUAGAUAAGAGCU
Molecule: ribosomal RNA, 55 nt
Filed under: Anaxyrus terrestris (southern toad)
Lineage: Eukaryota; Metazoa; Chordata; Amphibia; Anura; Bufonidae
Description: partial 16S large subunit ribosomal RNA
Source: RNAcentral